Sycon ciliatum is the source of this 253-nucleotide long non-coding RNA. RefSeq lists it as uncharacterized. Lineage: Eukaryota; Metazoa; Porifera; Calcarea; Leucosolenida; Sycettidae. The transcript has 3 exons. The record is from RefSeq and is a predicted model, not a curated record.
GCUUCACCUUCAGUCACCCUUCUCAGUUGCUUUCUUGUAUCGCUAGAGGGAGGUUUGACUACACUGGACUUUGAGGAGUUGUCUUGGAGUGGAUCUGCUAUCUAUGCGGUGGAAGAUGGGAUCUAUUUUAUUGCUUGCACUAUGUGUGUUGGCUUCAAUGCUGCACACAAUAAAUUGUGCUGAAGGUGAACAUCACUAUGUUUGUAACGGAGGAGUGCUUUUUAUGGACACGAAGGACUUACUGGAUUACCAA